GGGGGUAUAGCUCAGUGGUAGAAUGCAUGCUUAGCAUGCACAAGGUCAUGAGUUCAAUCCCCAGUACCUCCA
Molecule: transfer RNA, 72 nt
Filed under: Camelus bactrianus (Bactrian camel)
Lineage: Eukaryota; Metazoa; Chordata; Mammalia; Artiodactyla; Camelidae
Also listed under: 2 other names
Rfam family: tRNA
About the family: Transfer RNA (tRNA) molecules are approximately 80 nucleotides in length. Their secondary structure includes four short double-helical elements and three loops (D, anti-codon, and T loops). Further hydrogen bonds mediate the characteristic L-shaped molecular structure. tRNAs have two regions of fundamental functional importance: the anti-codon, which is responsible for specific mRNA codon recognition, and the 3' end, to which the tRNAs corresponding amino acid is attached (by aminoacyl-tRNA synthetases). tRNAs cope with the degeneracy of the genetic code in two manners: having more than one tRNA (with a specific anti-codon) for a particular amino acid; and 'wobble' base-pairing, i.e. permitting non-standard base-pairing at the 3rd anti-codon position.
Source: Rfam by way of RNAcentral